GCGUAAGCGCGCGCAGGCGGUUUCUUAAGUCUGAUGUGAAAGCCCACGGCUCAACCGUGGAGGGUCAUUGGAAACUGGGGAACUUGAGUGCAGAAGAGAAAAGCGGAAUUCCACGUGUAGCGGUGAAAUGCGUAGAGAUGUGGAGGAACACCAGUGGCGAAGGCGGCUUUUUGGUCUGUAACUGACGCUGAGGCGCGAAAGCGUGGGGAGCAAACAGGAUUAGAUACCCUGGUAGUCCACGCCGUAAACGAUGAGUGCUAAGUGUUAGAGGGUUUCCGCCCUUUAGUGCUGCAGCUAACGCAUUAAGCACUCCGCCUGGGGAGUACGGUCGCAAGACUGAAACUCAAAGGAAUUGACGGGGGCCCGCACAAGCGGUGGAGCAUGUGGUUUAUUUCGAAGCAACGCGAAGAACCUUACCAGGUCUUGACAUCCUGGGAGAACUCUAGAGAUAGAGCGUUCCCCUUCGGGGGACAGAGUGACAGGU
RNAcentral lists this ribosomal RNA (484 nucleotides) under Priestia flexa. RNAcentral's name for it is "bacterial SSU rRNA". It matches the Rfam family "Bacterial small subunit ribosomal RNA", at positions 558 to 1039 of the family's 1533-position model. The record is from RNAcentral. Lineage: Bacteria; Bacillati; Bacillota; Bacilli; Caryophanales; Bacillaceae.